CCGGAAGUGUUUCCGCCCGGAAAAACAGAACACCGGAACUUCCGGUAGCGCCGUAAGAGGGAAAAUCAGGGAAUUCGAUGCACCUGUGCCUAGUUAGGGACAGCGGUUGGUGAUUGGAGGAUACGCUGGACAAGGCAGUACUUAAGGCCAAGUUAUUUCACAGUCUGGGAGCUCUUUCUGGUGUGUGUGAAGCACUGUGUCGUGCCCGUCUUGGUGCGCUGCUGGUGGCUGUCUAACUCUCUCUCUCCCUCAGGCUGGAAUUGUAUGAUUGUGAAGACAUCGCGAACCUUAAAGGUUGAGAAGUGAACGGAUUAUACGGCGAAUUGAGACGACGUGAAAAAGGGGAUUGGAAGCGGCAUUGAUGUGAGUACUAAGAGCAAGCCGAAAGUGCCCUGUAUAUUGACCUGGCGUUGUGUAGAUCUCCCCAGGAGGAGGAGGGCGGCCCUACCCCUAAUAUAGCGUGGUGGGAGAGCCGAAGGAAUACUUAUUGAAGUAGUCACAACGACGACAUCACUAGCUAGGCCGCAUAUUCCAUCGCCAGAUCCGAACCAAGCGAAGUGAAGGAAGACGGGUGUCCUUUUCGUACACUGAGUGUGGUGGGUGAGUCUUCGUGCUGUGAAAACCUAUAAUUUUGACGUGGUGCUGUAUAUUGCUGUGGGUUGCUGUGUAUUGCCGUGUGUCCUGUCAGAUAAACCCCCGCCUUCACGCACUCCGUCGCGGGAGGACAAGGAGACUGCUGGUUCUAGCCUAGUUCAGUACAGUAUAUGUUGUGAGCGUGCUUCAGAUCUCCGGAGAUAGCACGGUACGCUGUGUUCAGCCCAGAGGUGAGAGCCAUUCAAAGCAGAGUAACUGUGUUUUGUGUCCAAGUUGAUACCUGUGGAGAGAAAAGGAGAGAGAGUGGGUAACACGAGGAGAGACCGAGGAAACCUGUACUUACGCCGCUGCCUGUGGAGAAAGAGAAAGCGACCGUUGCCUGUGGAGGAAGAGAAAGAGAGUGAGCACCCCGAGAACGAACUGUGUGAACCAGUACUUACCGUGAGUUGUAUUCAGCGAAGAGGAGGAAGAAGGAGGGCGCUACGGAUACCUAAGACUCUGGCCGGGCCCCGAGUCCCACG
Carassius gibelio (silver crucian carp) is the source of this 1115-nucleotide long non-coding RNA. RefSeq lists it as uncharacterized. The transcript is spliced from 3 exons. Lineage: Eukaryota; Metazoa; Chordata; Actinopteri; Cypriniformes; Cyprinidae. The record is from RefSeq and is a predicted model, not a curated record.